GAUGAAGAACGCAGCGAAAUGCGAUAAGUAAUGUGAAUUGCAGAAUUCAGUGAAUCAUCGAAUCUUUGAACGCACCUUGCGCCCUUUGGCUAUUCUGAAGGGCAUGCCUGUUUGAGUAUCAUGAACACCUCAACUCUCAUGGUUCGCCAUGAUGAGCUUGGACUUUGGGGGUCUUGCUGGCCUACGGUCGGCUCCUCUCAAAUGAAUCAGCUUGCCAGUGUUUGGUAGAGUCGCAGGUGUGAUAACUAUCUACGCUUGUGGUUUUCUGCCAGAUAACCUUCAGUGAUGGAGGUUCGCUGGAGCUUAUAAAUGUCUCCCCCCAGUGAGGACAGCUUUUUGAACGUUUGAUCUCAAAUCAGGUAGGACUACCCGCUGAACUUAAGCAUAUCAAUAAGCGGAGGA
Molecule: unclassified non-coding RNA, 402 nt
Filed under: soil metagenome
Description: partial contains 5.8S ribosomal RNA, internal transcribed spacer 2, and large subunit ribosomal RNA
Rfam family: 5.8S ribosomal RNA (bases 1-121)
Source: RNAcentral